CAUUCUUCUUUUCUUUGACAAAAAUUUAUGCCAUAAAAGUGGAAAGUCCAAGUUCCAUUUCUAAAACCUCAAAAACAUCCGUCUCUUAAUCUUCAUUGGAAUUAUAUUUGGAGAAUUUCUCUAUUUUUUAUACAAAACAAUUCAGGAAUUACAUAAAGCAAUUACGAGAGGAAACAAGUGAAAGAUUAUUAAACGUUGCUUAUCGACCUAAUGGAACUCCAAAUAAAUGGUGGCUAGCAUUUGCCAAGAGGUCAUUUCUUAGCUCGCGACCAGUUGUGCAUGCAGAGGAGGAUAUUGAAAUUAACACUUCUAUAGAGGAAUAACCAUGUUUCCAUGAAAGGAUAAUUAUGUACACGUUAGAAACUUUCUUUGGAGCAUUAAUUUGUGUCACUUAAACUACAAGUGUAAAUUUUGACACAGUCAGAUAUUUCACUUACUUGUCGAAUUUCACAUAUGGUUUUCACUUAUUAAUAUGCAAUUUCAUAAUUGUUCUAUAA
Molecule: non-coding RNA, 497 nt
Organism: Solanum lycopersicum (tomato)
Lineage: Eukaryota; Viridiplantae; Streptophyta; Magnoliopsida; Solanales; Solanaceae
Source: RefSeq, a predicted model, not a curated record